Molecule: ribosomal RNA, 908 nt
Filed under: uncultured archaeon
Lineage: Archaea
Description: bacterial SSU rRNA
Rfam family: Archaeal small subunit ribosomal RNA
Source: RNAcentral
ACUGGGGCUAAUACCUCAUAGGAGACGGGUGCUGGAAUGCUCUGUCUCUGAAAGGUCCGCCGUCUGAGGAUGAGUCUGCGGCCGAUUAGGUUGUUGUUGGGGUAACGGCCCAACAAGCCAUUGAUCGGUACGGGUUGUGGGAGCAAGAGCCCGGAGAUGGAUUCUGAGACAUGAAUCCAGGCCCUACGGGGCGCAGCAGGCGCGAAAACUUUACAAUGCGAGCAAUCGUGAUAAGGAAACCCUGAGUGCCUGUCAAUGCAGGCUGUUCUGGUGUCUAACACCCACCAGGAGAAAGGGCGGGGCAAGACCGGUGCCAGCCGCCGCGGUAAUACCGGCUGCUCGAGUGAUAGCCGCUUUUACUGGGCUUAAAGCGUUCGUAGCUUGGUCGUUAAGUCUCUGGGGAAAUCUUCUGGCUCAACCAGAAGGCGUCUCAGGGAAACUGGCGAUCUAGGAACCGGGAGAGGUGAGACGUACUUCGGGGGUAGGAGUGAAAUCUUGUAAUCCCCGAGGGACGACCGAUGGCGAAGGCAUCUCACCAGAACGGCUUCGACAGUGAGGGACGAAAGCUGGGGGAGCAAACCGGAUUAGAUACCCGGGUAGUCCCAGCCGUAAACGAUGUGCGUUAGGUGUGUCGGUGACCACGAGUCGCCGAGGUGCCGAAGGGAAACCGUGAAACGCACCGCCUGGGAAGUACGGUCGCAAGGCUGAAACUUAGAGGAAUUGGCGGGGGAGCACCACAACGGGUGGAGCCUGCGGUUUAAUUGGAUCAAACCCCCGGAAAUCACUAGUGCGGCCGCCUGCAGGUCGACCAUAUGGGAGAGCUCCCAACGCGUUGGAUGCAUAGCUUGAGUAUUCUAUAGUGUCACCUAAAUAGCUUGGCGUAAUCAUGGUCAUAGCUGUUUCCUGAC